Molecule: ribosomal RNA, 472 nt
Filed under: uncultured bacterium
Lineage: Bacteria
Description: bacterial SSU rRNA
Rfam family: Bacterial small subunit ribosomal RNA
Source: RNAcentral
CGCUGGCGGCGUGCCUAACACAUGCAAGUCAACUUGACUGAAGGAGCAAUCUGACAGUAGAGUGGCGCAAGGGUGCGUAACGCGUAAGUAACUUGCCCAAGGUAAGGAAUAACGUCGAGAAAUCGGCGCUAAUACCUCAUAAUGCAGCGGAUCCGCAUGGAUAUGUUGUUAAAGGUUUACCGCCUUGGGAUAGGCUUGCGUCUGAUUAGCUAGUUGGUGUGGUAACGGCACACCAAGGCUACGAUCAGUAACUGGUCUGAGAGGAUGAUCAGUCACACUGGAACUGAGACACGGUCCAGACUCCUACGGGAGGCAGCAGUGAGGAAUAUUGGGCAAUGCUCGAAAGAGUGACCCAGCAACGCCGCGUGGAGGAUGAGGUAUUCUAUAUCGUAAACUCCUGUGAGAGCAGACGAAAGACAGAUUAUUAAUCUGGAUGACUGUAUGCUCAGAGGAAGCCCCGGCUAACUACGUG